UCUGGCUUCAGCGGUCCAGAAACGGGCACACCUUCUUUCUCCUCCUUCUCUAGACCGGGAAUUGAUGUCCCAGAACCGGGUCGUAAAGAAAUCUGAUCAGAUGAAGGUGGUUGAUCUGGGACUAAAACAGAACGAGGUUGAGGUUGGGGGUGUUGGGGAAGUGUUGGGGAAACGACAGGAGGAGUGGAAAUAGGCUUAGGGGAAGGACGGGUCAGGACGAGCAUACGGCCAUGGGUUUUGACAUUGCCUGCGGAUGAAUAAGAAGCAAAAGAGGAAUGGGUUUGGUGAUUGGAUUGGGGAUUCUUGUUGGAACCAGAUGAGGAAGAAGAAGGAGUCAG
RNAcentral lists this long non-coding RNA (338 nucleotides) under Gossypium barbadense (sea-island cotton). RNAcentral describes it as "long non-coding RNA (GBAR_LNC014514)". Lineage: Eukaryota; Viridiplantae; Streptophyta; Magnoliopsida; Malvales; Malvaceae. The record is from RNAcentral.